Ictidomys tridecemlineatus (thirteen-lined ground squirrel) is the source of this 102-nucleotide small nuclear RNA. Lineage: Eukaryota; Metazoa; Chordata; Mammalia; Rodentia; Sciuridae. The record is from Ensembl.
GUGCUGAUUUUGGCAGCAUAUAUACUAAAUUUGGACUAAUACAGAGAAAAUUAGCAUGGCCCCUAGAAUGACACACAAAUUCCCGAAGCAUUCCAUAAGUUU